GACGAACGCUGGCGGUGUGCUUAACACAUGCAAGUCGAACGGUAAGGCCCUUUCGGGGGUACACGAGUGGCGAACGGGUGAGUAACACGUGAGUAACCUGCCCUCAUCUCUGGGAUAACAGUCGGAAACGGUUGCUAAUACUGGAUAUGAGCUUGCAAGGCAUCUUGUGGGUUGGAAAGUUUUUUUUGGUUGGGGAUGGACUCGCGGCCUAUCAGCUUGUUGGUGCGGUAGUGGCUCACCAAGGCUACGACGGGUAGCCGGCCUGAGAGGGCGACCGGCCACAGUGGGACUGAGAUACGGCCCAGACUCCUACGGGAGGCAGAAGUGGGGAAUAUUGAACAAUGGACGGAAGUCUGAUGCAGCAACGCCGCGUGCGGGAGGACGGUCUUCGGGUUGGAAACCGCUUUCAAUUGUGACGAAGCUGUUUGUGACGGUAGCAGUAGAAGAAGCACCGGCUAACUACGUG
Molecule: ribosomal RNA, 466 nt
Filed under: uncultured bacterium
Lineage: Bacteria
Description: partial 16S ribosomal RNA
Rfam family: Bacterial small subunit ribosomal RNA
Source: RNAcentral